CUCCUACGGGAGGCAGCAGUGGGGAAUAUUGGACAAUGGGCGCAAGCCUGAUCCAGCCAUGCCGCGUGGGUGAAGAAGGCCUUCGGGUUGUAAAGCCCUUUUGUCCGGAAAGAAAAGUUCUGGGUUAAUAACCCAGGAUCAUGACGGUACCGGAAGAAUAAGCACCGGCUAACUUCGUGCCAGCAGCCGCGGUAAUACGAAGGGUGCAAGCGUUACUCGGAAUUACUGGGCGUAAAGCGUGCGUAGGUGGUGGUUUAAGUCAGAUGUGAAAGCCCUGGGCUCAACCUGGGAACUGCAUUUGAUACUGGAUCACUAGAGUGCGGUAGAGGAUAGUGGAAUUCCCGGUGUAGCAGUGAAAUGCGUAGAGAUCGGGAGGAACACCAGUGGCGAAGGCGACUAUCUGGACCAGCACUGACACUGAGGCACGAAAGCGUGGGGAGCAAACAGGAUUAGAUACCCUGGUAGUCCACGCCCUAAACGAUGCGAACUGGAUGUUGGGAGCAACUUGGCUCUCAGUAUCGAAGCUAACGCG
Molecule: ribosomal RNA, 532 nt
Filed under: uncultured bacterium
Lineage: Bacteria
Description: bacterial SSU rRNA
Rfam family: Bacterial small subunit ribosomal RNA
Source: RNAcentral